AACGCGAAGAACCUUACCUAGCCUUGACAUGCACUGGACCGACUCUGAAAGGAGUCUUUCCCGCAAGGGACCGGUGCACAGGUGCUGCAUGGCUGUCGUCAGCUCGUGUCGUGAGAUGUUGCGUUAAGUCCCGCAACGAGCGCAACCCUUAUCUUCAGUUGCUACCAUUUAGUUGAGCACUCUGACGAAACCGCCUCGGAUAACGGGGAGGAAGGUGGGGAUGACGUCAAGUCCUCAUGGCCUUUAUGUCCAGGGCUACACACGUGCUACAAUGGCCGGUACAAACCGUCGCAAACCCGUGAGGGGGAGCUAAUCGGAAAAAGCCGUCCUCAGUUCGGAUUAGAGUCUGCAACUCGACUCUAUGAAGCUGGAAUCGCUAGUAAUCGCGGAUCAGAACGCCGCGGUGAAUACGUUCCCGGGCCUUGUACACACCGCGCAUA
RNAcentral lists this ribosomal RNA (440 nucleotides) under uncultured bacterium. RNAcentral describes it as "bacterial SSU rRNA". It matches the Rfam family "Bacterial small subunit ribosomal RNA", at positions 958 to 1398 of the family's 1533-position model. The record is from RNAcentral.